Molecule: ribosomal RNA, 2997 nt
Filed under: Triticum aestivum (bread wheat)
Lineage: Eukaryota; Viridiplantae; Streptophyta; Magnoliopsida; Poales; Poaceae
Description: partial small subunit ribosomal RNA
Source: RNAcentral
AUGCUGCGACAGCGACUGCGACUGCGACGGCUACCUGGACCGGGACCGGAAGUGUGGAUUGGUCCGGACACCGUCGAACAAGCGGUGCAACUGAUAAUCCCUUAUCUGGAGGAUACGAGCAAUACUGCACACAAGGCCAUAUAUUUUGAUGGAUGGCAAGGGCUGGCUGCUUCGGCGGUGCUUAGAGCCAUAGCUGAACACCAUCCACCAUCUCUGGUGGAGAAAUUCGACAAGAUCAUACACGUCGAUUGCUCGAAGUGGAAAAGCCGAAGAGCACUCCAGAGAUUGAUCGCAGAAGAACUCAAGCUUCCUCAGCGGGUAAUGGAUAUUUUUGACAGGCAAGAUCAAGAAGAUGAUUUCAGAGGGGUAGACGAAAGCUCUAGAGCCGAGAUACAAGACGCUGGGGCAGAGAUCAAUCGAGCCUUACGAGAACACAUAUGUUUAGUGUUCUUCCACAAUGGAAGCGGCAACACAAUUGACUUGAAUGAUUUUGGUAUUCCCCAACCUCUAAUGGAUCAAUGGUUUGCAUAUGGCAGUAAAGUAUUGUGGACAUUUCGAGGAAGGCUUCGGCUCAACCCAGGAAUUAGUGAGAAGGUGGAUAAUUCACAUCUUUUUCUUUAUGAGGACUCGUUGAUUAAACCUUGGAAUUAUUUGCUACAAAAUGAGGCUAGAGAAAUUGCCGGGUACAUGGAUAAGCUUGGAGAAGCAGUUCAAGAGUGUUGCUUGUAUCUGCUAUCAUUAAAUUCUCAAGGAGGCAACAUCAUGGACUAUGACUGGGCCCCCCAUGCUUCUAACUAUUGGGUCUGCGAUGGGAUCAUACAAGGAGGUCAGGGUGACGAAGCAUGGGAGGUUGCAGCUGCUCUGCAUCAACACCUAAAUAUAGAGGAUUAUUCAUCUAAUGCACUGCCCUAUUUUGGUGCACAAUUGGAGACUCCUCCGAAACGAUGGAUAUUUGUCAAGGACAGGUCUGUUGUGCAUCCAGAGUCAACAUCAUUUUUUCUCGGAGCAGCCGCAAGUGGAUCUGAUCCUCCAUUAUUACCCAAUGGCAUGUUUCAUCAGUCGGACAAACUUCGCGUGCUCAAGUUAUGCCACUGCAGCUUCAAUUUUUCUUCACCUCCUUUCCAUUCUUGCCUCAACUUAAGAUUCCUCGGAUUAGAUAGUUGCAAAGAUCAACAAGCGGAAGAACCCAAAAAGCAAGAUAUGACAACAAUGGAUUUUUUUAAGAGCCUAUGGGUGAUAGACAUAUGCAAUACAGAUUGGGAUCUGCCUUCAUCACCAGAGAGAAUAGAGCAUAUGUCUGCAAACAUCAGGGAAGUUCAUAUAAAGAACGGAAGGUUUUGGUACAUCAUUUUUGCAUUGGGGCAACUGCAGAACCUUCGCAAGCUUCGAGUAAUUGACCCUACUUGCUCUUGGGAGACGGGCGGAAAGGAUGAAUUCACAGUUUUGCCCAGCUUGUCAAGAUCAACUAGCCUCAAGACUCUAGUUCUAGAUGGUUGUGUUGGUUUGGAGCAUGUUGAAGGACUCCCUCCAUCACUUGAAUCAUUCAGCUUACAUGCAAGACCAAGAAAGGAUAAUUACAAGGAAGCCAAAAUAAGCCGCAUCUCCAUGGCUGGUUGUGCAAGAUUGUCUGACUUCACACUGCGUGGAUCACUUCCAAACCUUGAGGAGUUGGACCUCUCAAGCACAAGAGUCAAGACACUUGACCUCACAACUCAGGUGGUACAAGCCCCAAAUCUCCAGCAAAUAAUUCUAUUGGAAUGUUUGCAGCUCCGUGCAAUUAUAUGGCCAGAAGAGGGUCUGCCAACACUGACAGUGCUGCACAUUGAUUCCUCGGCCAGUCCUGCUCAAACAAAACCACCUGAAGUUUAUGUUACUAUAAUGGACAUAAGGUUUUUUCAGUCCUUGGUAUUACAAAGCAAUGUUCGAUUUUGUUGGAAGAGCAAUAGGUACCAUCUAAAUCUCUGUGUCCCUUGUACCGUCAAUGUUAAGGGACAAAGCUAUAUGAAGGACAAGAUGGGCCCUUGUAAUAGUGGGAAAAUAAUGGGUCCUCCUCAACCAAAGUCGUUAACCCCCAACACUUACAACACCUACAUUGAUGUCUCUAUUGACAACAUAAUUAUUGAUCACGACUACAACAAUGGAAUGCAGUUUCAGCCGUUGGGAUCCCAUGUUGAGAUUGGUGAUGGAAUUAGUUUCACUAGAACGGACAACAAAAGAGGAGUGAAGGCUAUCAUCUUUGUGAUGAACAUGGCUGAGUCAUUGCAUGCACACGACAAUUCCUGCAUCACCACUACGAUCCCUGAACAUAUGAUGUCCAUAGGAAAUGAGAAACUUACAUGGCGACAUUUGAAAUCUUGUCAUAUGGUGAGAUGCCCCAAGAUGCAUACAGCCUUCAGUAUUAUCAAUGAUUACUGCAACUUUGAAGAACUAGUGAACUUUUGGGCAGCUGAUCUCCCGAUGACCCAUUGCAUUUGGAGCAAAGGAAGGACGUGGUAUCUUAGAGACCAUAUUUCCUUUGCAAAACUGCAGAGCAUACACCUGUUCUCAUGUCCGAGGCUCACAUUUGUUCUCCCAUUCUCCAUGUUAUACACCUUGGGAAGCUUGGAGACCCUCCACAUCGUCUUCUGUGGUGAUCUAGGGCAGGUGUUCCCUGUGGCGCCAGAGGUUCUGACAAGAAUAGCUAACUACCAUAAAGGUGUACUGGAAUUCCCAAACCUGAAGCAUAUCUACUUGCAUCAGCUCUUCAAGCUGCAACACAUAUGCAAAGCCAAGAUGUUUGCUCCCAAGCUUGAGACCAUCAGGGUCAGGGGAUGCUGGGGUCUCAAGCGCCUCCCGGCCGUUGACCGAGGCAGUCGUCCGAUUGUGGACUGUGAGAAGGACUGGUGGGAUAAGCUGGAGUGGGAUGGGCCGGAGGCCGGCCACGACCCUUCCCUCUUCCAGCUGCGCCACUCGGCGUACUACAAGAAGCCCCUGCCUAGAGUCUCAGUUCUUUGGUGA